RNAcentral lists this long non-coding RNA (1823 nucleotides) under Mytilus galloprovincialis (Mediterranean mussel). Lineage: Eukaryota; Metazoa; Mollusca; Bivalvia; Mytilida; Mytilidae. The record is from RNAcentral.
GAAAUAUGAAAAAUCAGUUUAAAAUGUUAGUUCCUAUGGCUUUAUGAUGUAUUAAUAUCAAUUUAAAGCAAAGGUCAAAAUCUAGAACGUCCUAUUAAACUAUGACCUUGACCUCAAUUUCAAGGUCACAAACCAAGGAUCUUAAAUCAAAAGACCCUAGGUCUUUAAUAUGUUUGGUUAAAGAGUAAUAUCACUUUACGGGUAAACCUAAAUAUAAGAUGGGCAAAAAACUCCCAUUUAUUAUCUGCGCACCCUUUCAACCAAAAUAUACAAGUAAGGACAUGUUGCAACUAACAAUUUAUGAAAAAUUAUUUGUCGAUAUGUCAUACGGUAUUUGAAAAUCAGUGAAAAUAAGCAAAAAUCAAAAUUUAGAACAUGACCUUGACCUUUGACCUUGACCUCAUUUUCAUUUUUUAGGACCAAGGACCUCAAAUCUGAAGACCCUAGGUCUCUAUCACUUAUGGUUUACCAGUUAGAAAUGCAUAUUACUUAUAUCAUUUACAUAAGGGGAAAUAACUCUCAUAUGGAGUCUCUGGAAAGCUUCGGUCCAAAUGAAUUGCCUAAUCCUGAUGAUGUAACGAGCAAUUUGGUAAAAUAAAUUUGUCGUAAUCUUUUACGGUUGCGAAGGAGUAGUGGCCACAAGAAAAACAGUGUUUGGGGAGAUAACUCUUACAACGCAAAGUAUUUGGUAACGCAGUUGUCAGUUUUAAAAGCGCAUACACUUUACAAUAUCAUAUUCCAAAUAUCUAAGCGACAUCUUUUGAAACAUCAAUACUACGCAAGAAAAAAAUUAGGCGGAAGAAAAAAAAAAAAAAAAAAAAUAAUUAAAAACCAAUUGUUCAGAGAACAAUUGUAGGUCUUUCCACUAGUAAAGAUCUAUUUUGAUAUUGAAAUAUUAAAAAUCAGUUUAAAAUGUUAGUUCCUAUGGCUUUAUGAUGUAUUUAUAUGAAUUUAAAGCAAAGGUCAAAAUCUAGAACGUCAUAUUAACCUAUGACCUUGACCUCAAUUUCAGGUUCACAAACCAAGGACCUUAAAUCAAAAGACCCUAGGUCUUUAAUAUGUUUGGUUUAUUAGUAAUAUCACUUUACGCGUAAUUCUAAAUGUAAGAUGGGCAAAACUCCCAUUUAUUGUCUGCGCACCCUUUCAAUCAAAAUAUACAAGUAAGGACAUGUCGCAACUAACAAUUUAUGAAAAAUUAUUUGUCGAUAUGUCAUAAGGUAUUUGAAAAUAAAUGAAAAUAAGCCAAAAUCAAAAUUUAGAAUAUGACCUUGACCUUUGACCUUGACCUCAUUUUUAUUAUUUUGGACCAAGGACCCCAAAUCUAAAGACCCUAUGUGUUUAUCACUUAUGGUUUACCAUUUAGAAAUGCAUAUCACUUAAUUAAAUGGAAAAGGGGGAAUAACUCUCAUAUGGAGUCUCCGUAAAGCUUCAGUCCAAAUGAAUAUCCUAAUCCUGAAGAUGUAACGAGCAAUUUGGUCAAAUAAAUUUGUCGUAAUCUUUAAUGGUUGCGAAGGAGUAGUGGCCACAAGAAAAACAGUGUUUGGGGAGAUAACUCUUACAACGUAAAGUAUUUUGUUACACAAUUCUAAAUUUUUAAAGCGUAUAAACUAUACGAUACCAUAUUCCAAAUAUCUAAGCGACAUCUUUUGAAACAUCAAUAAUACGCAAGAAAAAAAUUAGGCGGAAGAAAAAAAAAAAAAAUAAUAAUAAUAAUAAUCAGAACAAAUUCAAUAGGUCUUUCCACGGAAAGGUGGAAAGACCUAAUAAUCAGAACAAAUUCAAUAGGUCUUUCCACGGAAAGGUGGAAAGACCUAAAUAUACAA